AUUCUGCCAGUAGUCAUAUGCUUGUCUCAAAGAUUAAGCCAUGCAUGUCUAAGUAUAAGCAAUUAUACCGUGAAACUGCGAAUGGCUCAUUAAAUCAGUUAUCGUUUAUUUGAUAAUACCUUACUACUUGGAUAACCGUGGUAAUUCUAGAGCUAAUACAUGCUGAAAAUCCCGACUUCGGAAGGGAUGUGUUUAUUAGAUAAAAAACCAAUGCCCUUCGGGGCUCCUUGGUGAUUCAUAAUAACUUUACGGAUCGCAUAGCCUUGCGCUGGCGACGGUUCAUUCAAAUUUCUGCCCUAUCAACUUUCGAUGGUAAGGUAUUGGCUUACCAUGGUUUCAACGGGUAACGGGGAAUUAGGGUUCGAUUCCGGAGAGGGAGCCUGAGAAACGGCUACCACAUCCAAGGAAGGCAGCAGGCGCGCAAAUUACCCAAUCCCGAUUCGGGAGGUAGUGACAAUAAAUACUGAUACAGGGCUCUUUUGGGUCUUGUAAUUGGAAUGAGUACAAUUUAAACCUCUUAACGAGGAACAAUUGGAGGGCAAGUCUGGUGCCAGCAGCCGCGGUAAUUCCAGCUCCAAUAGCGUAUAUUAAAGUUGUUGCAGUUAAAAAGCUCGUAGUUGAAACUUGGUCUGGCUGGCGGGUCCGCCUCACCGCGUGCACUCGUCCGGCCGGGCCUUCCUUCUGAAGAACCUCAUGCCCUUUACUGGGCGUGUUGGGGAAUCAGGACUUUUACUUUGAAAAAAUUAGAGUGUUCAAAGCAGGCCUUUGCUCGAAUACGUUAGCAUGGAAUAAUAAAAUAGGGCGUGCGUUUCUAUUUUGUUGGUUUCUAGAGACGCCGCAAUGAUUAACAGGAACAGUCGGGGGCAUCAGUAUUCAGUUGUCAGAGGUGAAAUUCUUGGAUUUACUGAAGACUAACUACUGCGAAAGCAUUU
This 932-nucleotide ribosomal RNA is filed under the name Pyrenophora tritici-repentis. RNAcentral's name for it is "SSU rRNA". It matches the Rfam family "Eukaryotic small subunit ribosomal RNA", at positions 11 to 956 of the family's 1831-position model. The record is from RNAcentral. Lineage: Eukaryota; Fungi; Ascomycota; Dothideomycetes; Pleosporales; Pleosporaceae.